RNAcentral lists this ribosomal RNA (410 nucleotides) under Clostridioides difficile. RNAcentral describes it as "bacterial LSU rRNA". It matches the Rfam family "Bacterial large subunit ribosomal RNA", at positions 1822 to 2231 of the family's 2925-position model. Lineage: Bacteria; Bacillati; Bacillota; Clostridia; Peptostreptococcales; Peptostreptococcaceae. The record is from RNAcentral.
UCUGCUAAGUCGCAAGACGAUGUAUAGGAGCUGACGCCUGCCCGGUGCUGGAAGGUUAAGGGGAUCUGUUAGAGCAAUCGAAGCAGUGAACUUAAGCCCCAGUAAACGGCGGCCGUAACUAUAACGGUCCUAAGGUAGCGAAAUUCCUUGUCGGGUAAGUUCCGACCCGCACGAAAGGCGUAACGAUUUGGGCACUGUCUCAACAACAGACUCGGUGAAAUUGUAAUUCCGGUGAAGAUGCCGGAUACCUGCGACAGGACGGAAAGACCCCAUGGAGCUUUACUGUAGCUUGACAUUGGGUCUUGGUACUACAUGUACAGGAUAGGUGGGAGGCUUUGAAACCAGGACGCCAGUUUUGGCGGAGCCAUCCUUGGGAUACCACCCUUGUAGUACUGGGACUCUAACCAUAG